Long non-coding RNA from Pogoniulus pusillus (Red-fronted tinkerbird), 2990 nucleotides. RefSeq lists it as uncharacterized. NCBI's taxonomy places the organism in Eukaryota, Metazoa, Chordata, Aves, Piciformes, Lybiidae. The transcript has 5 exons. The record is from RefSeq and is a predicted model, not a curated record.
CCAACUGGGCAGAGGGAUCCUCCUCAGAUCAUCCCUGGUUGAGCUCCUCUGUGUGUGGCUGAGAGUCCUGCCCCAGGCUGUAAGCAGGAACAGAAAAUGGAGGAUCAGCAGAAAGAGUGGGAAGGAAAAGCUUUUGCUGGGGAGGAAGAAGAGAGAAAGCUUCUCUCUGCUUUGAGAAACCCUGUGUGUUUCAGAUGGGGACAUCUGGGUUGUCCACACUCCAGCUGGUGCCAGCUGCCUUCAGGGGCACAGUGAGGCUGCUCCCUGCACGCCAGGCUUCUGCUUCUCUCCGCCUUGGCAGUACCUGAAGGACACUAAAGGAUGAAUGGAAGUGACUGCACACACUCCUGGCAUGCUCCACCUCCUUCCUCGCUUUACACUCCUUGGCUUCUCAUUUAUUUUUUGCAUGAGCUCAUUUAUUUUGGGUGGAAAGACAUGCCCUGGAGCUGGCAGAAGUGCUCAUGUUACUCUCUGUGCCCUGCUGUGCCAGAACUAGUGACAGCAACACCAAUCCAAACUGCCUGCUUUGACCAGCAACCCCUCCUGCUUCCAGUACUGACAGUGGCAAGGUCAACCAUAGUCUCCUGUUUUAACUAGCAUCUCCUCUUGUUCUACCUCCCAAAACACAGAUUGUAUGUGAGCCCCACAUCUCCCUCUAGAGUGGCUCAGAUCAGCAUCCCUGGUCACUCAGGUUGGGCAGGAAUGUCACACCACCUGCUAGGUACAUAUUUGUUACCAGUCACCCCAGCUACAGCCCCAUUGCCAGGCAAUCUCCUCACCUGCAGCACCUCUAGACCUGUGUUGACUGAUGGCAUCUACUGCCAGAGCCCACCACUGGAAGAUGUGAGCAUCAGAGCUGGAUGCACUGCUAGAAGUGGAGGAUUUGAGCUGUGGCUGAUAGUCCUGCAGAAGAGAUCCUCCUUAAGUGGUGCAUUCAGGUUUGGGCUGCCCAGUUUGACAGGGUCCAACUGAGGGCUAUGAGGAUGAUGAGGGGACUGGAACACUGCCUGACAAGGAGAGGCUGAGUGACCUGAGGCUGCUUAGUCUGGAGAAGAGAAGACUGAGGGGAUUUAAUGUCUAUAAAAAUGAGGGCUGGAGGUCAGGUUGGGGGAUCAGGCUCUGCUCCCUGGGAUAGGACAAGCAGCAAUGGAUGGAAGCUGCAGCACAGGAGGUUCCAGCUCAACACAAGGGGAACUUCUUGACAGGAAGGGUCCCAGAGCACUGGCACAGGCUGCCCAGAGAGGUUGUGGAGUUUCUUUCUCUGGAGCCUUUCAAGGCCUGUCUGGAUGUGUUGUUGUGUGACCUGGGCUGGAUUGUGUGGUCCUGCUCUGGCAGGGGGUUGGACUGGAUGUCUUUGAGUCUCUUCCAACCCUUGACAUCCUGAGAGUCCAUCUCAAGCUUGGUGGUCCUCCCUACACAGACAAUUUGAGUUUGUUUUUUGGUCUUGCAAGCAUCUCCAUAGCUGGAACAAAAGGAUGAGGAAGUAGAGAACAAGGGAGGUAGAGAAGAAAGGGAAGCUGGAGAGAAGCAGGCAGUGAAGAAGGGUGACCUGGAGAGAAACCAGCAGGAAAGAGGGAUCCAUAGAGAAGCAGGCAGAGAGAGCAGUAAGCCAAAUCACUGAGGCAGGAGUGAGAUUUCUCCCCUGGAAUUGGGAACAGCAGCUCCAAGUAGUCACUGUCUGCACCUGAUGCAAAUCUGUUUGCUGGGGGAUGUUGGGAGCAAAGAGCAGAACGCUCCUGAUUUCACAGGUUUGUCUCAUGAACUGGAGCCUCCAAACCAGAAAGAUUGCAAGAAAAACAAAAAGCAGAGGGGGGAAGGAAAGCAAACAACUAAACCAAACUGAUGUAAACAUCAUCAGCCUUGGUGUGGGGGGGGAGCACUGCCCUGGGAGAGGUGGGAGGGCAGGCAGCAUGGCCCAGCCAGAAUGCUUUAAAAGCCUUCCUGUGCUAUGGCAUUUGUUCUUCAAACACAUUAAGGCUUGUGCAAUAAAUACAUAAAUAAGGCCCUGCCAUUUACCUCUGCCUCUGCCACGUUAAUGGUUGCAGUUUUGGCUCAUUAAAAAUUGAAACGCCCAACACUUGCAGCAGCUGCCAAACCUGCUGCUCCCUCCCCUCCUGCCUCACUCUCCAUUCCUCCUGGAUGCUUUCUCCUUUGGCAUUCCCUUUCCAGCCUUCCCUGCUUCUGUCUGGUGCUUCCCAGUCCUCUCCCCUCCCUGCAGUGCUCCCCUCAGCUUCUCUUGCCCGUUGCUCCUCUGCCAGAGCUCAGCUCAAGGGGAGCAGUUGAUAAUCGGUGGCUUUAAUAUUCUCCCCUCGCUGUUCUCCUCUUCCGUGGGACUUGGAGAAUUAGCAAAUGUAUUUAGCUAGGUACACGGGAGAGCAAAGGCAACAAAGCAAGCAGCAGGGCUUUUCUAACGAGGAAUGACUAAUUUGACCCAGGAGAGCCUGUCCUCUUCCAAGCACUCAAUUUUUCCCCGGGUUUUGCAUCCAAAGCUAACAUUGGCAGUGCCAGCAGUGACUCUGGGGCACCUGCCAGCCUGCAGCUACCACGGGUGCUGUGCUCCCUGCCCUGCCAGCUCCAGCUUUGCUUUACCUGCUCUCUCAGAUGUGACACAAGCCACUGCAGCCAAAGCUGGCAGCCAGGGGGAUUUGGAGAAGCUGCUGCUUGUCUGCUGAUGGCUCUGCUCAGGGCUUCUGUGCACUGAGGAGUUCAAGUCCUGAAAAGCAUCCUUCCCAAGGCUAAGUUGGAUUAAGACCAAGCUCCUUGCAGCUUUUCCAUGGCUUUGAGCAGCUUCUAACUGCUCAUGGACAAGGAAGGAAACACCAAGGGGUUGUCUCAAGUCUGUGCCCAUGACAAAUGCCUCAGCACAAGCUUUGCAAGUGCUGUCAGCAAUCAUCACAUGCUGUGGGUGCAGACAGAGCUCAGCUGGGGUUGGAAUCCUUGGGACAUGCAACUUAGUUGCAGUGGGCUUACACAACAGCCCCAAGAGAAGA